ACAAUUUUGUCUUAUUUAUAUUUUUUGAUAAUUAUUUACAUAUAAGAAUCGUUUUCGUAACCGUUUCAUUGGUUUUUCUUAAGAUAAGUUGAAUAAUUAUUCGAAACAAUUAUUUAUUUUUUUUUUUUUUUCAUUUUUGCUUUUUUCAUUAAUAUCGUUUUUUUCGUGUUUUCAUUUACCGAAAUACGGAGAAUUAUAUCCCGUGUAAAAAAUCGAUGAACAACGGUAAACUCUUAUCAAGAAUUUUUCGAUAGAUUUAAUGUAACGAUCUGUUACAGAGAAAAGAAGUAUCGUGGUCGGUCGUCUGAGCGGUGGAUCACGGAUAAAUUGGAAAACAAGGCCGUGAGGACAGUUUGUCAAGGCGGUGCUAUUCAAUCCCAUUCGGAAAUAGCGGUGCGAACUAGACGGUAAAAUCCCUUCGAAAUUACUUGUUCUCAAGAGCUGAAGAAUCGUCGAACGUGCGUUCAAUAAAAAUCAUUCUUAAAAAUAUCGAGGAAUCACCUUAACAUCAUCCAUAUAUGUUAAUCAUAAAAUUAUUCGCAUCAAGAAAGUUAUAUUAUAUAAUAAUUUUAGACAUAAAUUAUUUUUCCUACUUUUUUGAUUUUCAUAUCAAGUAAGGAUUUAAGAUUUGGAUUAAAGAUUUUUAAAUAUCUUGUUAAAUAUCCUCAUCUAUUUUUAUUAGAUUAAAUGUAUUAAUUAAAUGUCAAGGAGAUCGCAAGUUUAAUCUCGCGGUGUAUGGAACAUCGUGAAGUGGUGUAGUUAUGCAAAUCGGUACCGAAACUUUUUAAUGAAAAUUUGUAAUUUCGAAUUUUCUAAGAACUCUAAACUUUCGAGAUGCGAUGAAAAUGUUAAUCAAACGGUGUCUCGGUGUUUCAACGGGAUAUUCAACGCCUGUUGUGAUUUACUGUUUGCAUUUAAACGUAGCUAUUUAGACAAUCUUUGUUCGUUUUAAUGCAGUGAUAUUAUUUUUAUACUUUGGAAAUCUUUUAGAGAAUAGAUUUUAUUUCAGCACAAGCUCAUUUGAUAAAUUAAUUUAUAAUUAUAAUUACGUAUAUCAUUGAUAUCCAAUCAUUUACAAGGAAUUUAUAACGAAAAAAGAUUAUCGAGUACAGAAAUAAAAUGGCAAAAAUAAUAUUUGAGUUUAUUAAAAAUGUUAUGUUUAAUGUUUUUUUAUGAAUGUUUUUAAUUUUUCUUUUCCUCGACACAUUUUCGAGAUUCUACUGUUUAUGAGAGAACAGAAAGAGAAGAGAAUACUACCGUGAGAAUACUAUCAUGCGAGAAUUGUCGGCAAGUACGAUACUCUACCUCUUCUAUCGCUAAAAUGGCGAAUUUCUAUAGGGAGAAUAUAUUACGUCACAUUAUUUUCAUAUACCACUGAGUCACGUGAUAUGAUGUUUAGUUUUGACGGAAACCCGGUCACGUGAUGUAUCUUUCCUAAUUCAGCAGUGAGGUUAUUUUAGCAAAUAAUAUAACGAAUCACUUUUAAUAGUAGAAGACGUACCGUGCUCAUUUAACAAUGUUACGCGCAACGGGAUAAUAAUAUCUGGUUUGAUAAGUUUUACCUUGUAAAUUGUUCAAUUUAUAUUAUCAGUUAAAGUCAAUUAGUGAUUGAUCAAUGAUCAGUUAAUAGUCAAUUGGUAUCGAUGCAACAACACAAGUGUCAAUUGAUUCUCGAGAAUGAUGAACUCGAAAGGAGAGAUCGAGAUCGUUUUGAUUGUGAAAGGAUUGCAAGAAAUGAUUUGAUUACGUCGUCAAGCCAUUUUUUUUAUCAAAAUAUUCGAACAAUUUCCUUUCGAAAGAUGGAAGAAAGUGAUCGAAAAAUAAUAAAUAAUAAGUAUUCUUCACGAUACACAUCGUAAUCGUAAAAAAAAAAAAAAAAGAAAAGAAAAGAAAAAGCAGCUAAACUGAAGUGGAUAUUAUAGCACGAACGAGGUAAUGUAACAUGUAAACGUGGAAUUUUUAACAAGUUCUAUUGUACGAUUUCAAAGGCGGAGAAAGAGGAUAUGUAAACGUAUCCUCGAUAUACGGGGAACGAUAUCACGUGCCGUUCUCGAUCUCAUGGAUCCAACUAUUCCUAAUGGAUGCAGGACGCAUCUAUCAUCCCUCGUCAUCAACGUCAAAAUUCUGGCCAAACACGGCAGCCAUCGUCUCGCCACUGAAUACCGACUACUGAAUACAAAAGAGCAACUGACGAAUGGCAGACUACUUUCCGCCAUCCUCUUUCUCGCUUCUCUUCGGCCUGUGCACGAACGCUCGUUAUUCGGAAUUACUCAUUAUUCAGGCGAAUUUUUAUUUCUCUUCUUGACCAUUUGAUUCCUUCCUUUCGUUUUUUUCUCUUUUAUUUUCAACUCGCAAAAGUUGAAAUCGACGUGAAGAAAUAUUUAAGAAUUUUAAUGUGUCAUUAAAAAAGUUGUGUUAAACGAGCUUUCGAGUAAUAGAACGAAGUAACAAAAGUUUCAAAAUUUAGAAAUGAAAUCAUGUUUCGAAUAACGUAACGUUUUUCGAUAUAAAUGAAUGUUGCAAGUGUUUUAUGAAGAAAUGUUUGAAGAAAUGAAGAAAUGUUUAAAUGUUUACAUCGUAUGAUUUUUAUUAAUCUUUAAAAUGUUAUAUAAUGUUAUAUAUUUUUGUUAACAGAAUUAAUUACAAUAAUUAUCGGGGAUAAAAAGAAACGUAAUUGCGCGUUAAUUGUGAGGGAAGAUUUUCAAGAUAAGCAAAAGAAUAAGAUAGUGUACGAUUUGCAUUUUAUUACUUAUUUUAUUCGAAUGCGUUGUAUGCGCGCAAUACAAAGCUAAAGAAUAUAUAAAUUAAGCAAAAACAUUGGCGUCAAUAAGAAUUUGGAGGAUAUUAACUAAAGUUUGAGCUAGAAGUGCUGCUGACACGUUGGCACCAGCUACGAUAGAUGAAA
Apis laboriosa (Himalayan honeybee) is the source of this 2905-nucleotide long non-coding RNA. RefSeq lists it as uncharacterized. The record is from RefSeq and is a predicted model, not a curated record. The transcript has 2 exons. NCBI's taxonomy places the organism in Eukaryota, Metazoa, Arthropoda, Insecta, Hymenoptera, Apidae.